GCACAGGUGAGUUCCUCUUGUUCUGCAUGACUUUGUACAUCAUGUGCUUCUCUGCUGUUGCAAGUGUCCAUCCUUGUAUUAUAAGCUAUGUGGCUUGGUCUGGGAUGGAAAUACUCAUUUGCACCGGUUUGAUUCAGCUUUGGGUUUGACUAUAAAUUGGUCUCUGUUGAAU
RNAcentral lists this small nucleolar RNA (172 nucleotides) under Triticum aestivum (bread wheat). RNAcentral describes it as "Small nucleolar RNA Z112". It matches the Rfam family "Small nucleolar RNA Z112". Rfam says of the family: Z112 is a member of the C/D class of snoRNA which contain the C (UGAUGA) and D (CUGA) box motifs. Lineage: Eukaryota; Viridiplantae; Streptophyta; Magnoliopsida; Poales; Poaceae. The record is from Rfam by way of RNAcentral.